This 497-nucleotide ribosomal RNA is filed under the name uncultured bacterium. Its description in RNAcentral is "partial 16S ribosomal RNA". It matches the Rfam family "Bacterial small subunit ribosomal RNA", at positions 28 to 507 of the family's 1533-position model. The record is from RNAcentral.
GAUGAACGCUGGCGGCGUGCCUAAUACAUGCAAGUCGAGCGAACAGAUAAGGAGCUUGCUCCUUUGACGUUAGCGGCGGACGGGUGAGUAACACGUGGGUAACCUACCUAUAAGACUGGGAUAACUUCGGGAAACCGGAGCUAAUACCGGAUAAUAUUUCGAACCGCAUGGUUCGAUAGUGAAAGAUGGUUUUGCUAUCACUUAUAGAUGGACCCGCGCCGUAUUAGCUAGUUGGUAAGGUAACGGCUUACCAAGGCGACGAUACGUAGCCGACCUGAGAGGGUGAUCGGCCACACUGGAGCUGAGACACGGUCCAGACUCCUACGGGAGGCAGCAGUAGGGAAUCUUCCGCAAUGGGCGAAAGCCUGACGGAGCAACGCCGCGUGAGUGAUGAAGGUCUUCGGAUCGUAAAACUCUGUUAUUAGGGAAGAACAUACGUGUAAGUAACUGUGCACGUCUUGACGGUACCUAAUCAGAAAGCCACGGCUAACUACGUG